UACGUAGGCAGCAAGCGUUGUUCGGAGUUACUGGGCGUAAAGGGUGUGUAGGCGGUUGGAUAAGUGUGGUGUGAAAUCUCCCGGCUCAACUGGGAGGGUGCGCUACAAACUGUCUGACUAGAGUGUGGGAUGGGUAAGUGGAAUUCCUGGUGUAGCGGUGAAAUGCGUAGAUAUCAGGAGGAACACCGGUGGCGAAGGCGGUUCUCUGGGCCUUACCUGACACUGAGGAGCGAAAGCGUGGGGAGCGAACAGG
This 253-nucleotide ribosomal RNA is filed under the name uncultured bacterium. RNAcentral describes it as "partial 16S ribosomal RNA". It matches the Rfam family "Bacterial small subunit ribosomal RNA", at positions 524 to 776 of the family's 1533-position model. The record is from RNAcentral.